Molecule: unclassified non-coding RNA, 230 nt
Filed under: Hevea brasiliensis (rubber tree)
Lineage: Eukaryota; Viridiplantae; Streptophyta; Magnoliopsida; Malpighiales; Euphorbiaceae
Source: RNAcentral
AGCAAACAUUGGAAUUGCCAUGGGAUGUGGAACUGCAGUUGCAAAGAGUGCUUCAGAUAUGGUUUUAGCAGAUGACAACUUCGCCACCGUUGUUGCAGCAGUUGCUGAGGGAAGGGCUAUAUAUAACAAUACGAAGCAAUUUAUUAGAUAUAUGAUAUCUUCAAACAUUGGUGAAGUGGUCUGUAUAUUUGUGGCAGCUAUGCUUGGGAUUCCUGAUACUCUUGUGCCUG